AUAAGAAUCAAAUUUUUGAACCUAGUUUCGACCUAGACCUUUGAUGUUACCAUCCUUA
RNAcentral lists this transfer RNA (58 nucleotides) under Cantharis plagiata. RNAcentral describes it as "tRNA-Arg". The record is from RNAcentral. Lineage: Eukaryota; Metazoa; Arthropoda; Insecta; Coleoptera; Cantharidae.